Molecule: non-coding RNA, 56 nt
Filed under: Fragilariopsis kerguelensis
Lineage: Eukaryota; Bacillariophyta; Bacillariophyceae; Bacillariales; Bacillariaceae
Source: RNAcentral
UAGAUUGAUUGCUUUUCUUUUCUUUCUUUCUUUUUUCUUUCUCUUUUUUCCCAAUG